AAUUUGGGCCUAAUCAUGAUAAGUCAUGUUCAAAUACGAGUAUACUAAUACGCCUAUAUCUAAUAUAUAACAUAUCGUUUCAAUAGAACGCAUACGACAAGUCUAUUUAAAAUACACAAUCCUAUGACUGCGGAGUUCCAUAAUAAUUGAAUACUAGAAUACUUAAUACGUCCGAAUUUAAUGACAGAAAUAUAAAGUUUACAUUUAUAACUCU
RNAcentral lists this long non-coding RNA (214 nucleotides) under Jatropha curcas. Its description in RNAcentral is "long non-coding RNA (JCUR_LNC003462)". Lineage: Eukaryota; Viridiplantae; Streptophyta; Magnoliopsida; Malpighiales; Euphorbiaceae. The record is from RNAcentral.